RNAcentral lists this ribosomal RNA (781 nucleotides) under Kocuria sp. SO9.6. RNAcentral describes it as "bacterial SSU rRNA". It matches the Rfam family "Bacterial small subunit ribosomal RNA", at positions 151 to 939 of the family's 1533-position model. The record is from RNAcentral. Lineage: Bacteria; Bacillati; Actinomycetota; Actinomycetes; Micrococcales; Micrococcaceae.
GGGACACUGGGUCUACUACUGGAUAUGACCUCCUGUCGCAUGGUGGGGGGUGGACAGGGUUUGUACUGGUUGUGGAUGGGCUCACGGCCUAUCAGCUUGUUGGUGGGGUAAUGGCCUACCAAGGCGACGACGGGUAGCCGGCCUGAGAGGGUGACCGGCCACACUGGGACUGAGACACGUUUCAGACUCCUACGGGAGGCAGAAGUGGGGAAUAUUGCACAAUGGGCGCAAGCCUGAUGCAGCGACGCCGGCGUGAGGUGAUGACGGCCUUCGGGUUGUAAACCUCUUUCAGCACGGAAGAAGCGAAAGUGACGGUACGUGCAGAAGAAGCGCCGGCUAACUACGUGCCAGCAGCCGCGGUAAUACGUAGGGCGCAAGCGUUGUCCGGAAUUAUUGGGCGUAAAGAGCUCGUAGNCGGUUUUUCGCGUCUGCUGUGAAAGCCCGGGGCUUAACCCCGGGUGUGCAGUGGGUACGGGCAGACUUGAGUGCAGUAGGGGAGACUGGAACUCCUGGUGUAGCGGUGAAAUGCGCAGAUAUCAGGAAGAACACCGAUGGCGAAGGCAGGUCUCUGGGCUGUUACUGACGCUGAGGAGCGAAAGCAUGGGGAGCGAACAGGAUUAGAUACCCUGGUAGUCCAUGCCGUAAACGUUGGGCACUAGGUGUGGGGGACAUUCCACGUUUUCCGCGCCGUAGCUAACGCAUUAAGUGCCCCGCCUGGGGAGUACGGCCGCAAGGCUAAAACUCAAAGGAAUUGACGGGGGCCCGCACAAGCGGCGGAGCA